This 85-nucleotide transfer RNA is filed under the name Felis catus (domestic cat). RNAcentral describes it as "tRNA-Arg (TCG) (tRNA-Arg-TCG-19-1)". It matches the Rfam family "tRNA". Rfam says of the family: Transfer RNA (tRNA) molecules are approximately 80 nucleotides in length. Lineage: Eukaryota; Metazoa; Chordata; Mammalia; Carnivora; Felidae. The record is from Rfam by way of RNAcentral.
GCCUGGGUGGCUCAGUUGGUUGAGCAUCUGACUUCGGUUCAGGUCAUGAUCUCACAGCUCGUGGGUUCGAGCCCCACGUCAGGCU